RNAcentral lists this non-coding RNA (183 nucleotides) under Secundilactobacillus kimchicus. Its description in RNAcentral is "Lactobacillus kimchicus Lysine sequence". It matches the Rfam family "Lysine riboswitch aptamer". From Rfam's summary of the family: Riboswitches are metabolite binding domains within certain messenger RNAs that serve as precision sensors for their corresponding targets. Allosteric rearrangement of mRNA structure is mediated by ligand binding, and this results in modulation of gene expression. The record is from RNAcentral. RNAcentral also lists the same sequence under 1 other name. Lineage: Bacteria; Bacillati; Bacillota; Bacilli; Lactobacillales; Lactobacillaceae.
GUAAAUCGAAGAGGUUGCAACCAACAUGAGUCAGUUAGCUGAGUUCCCAUUGCGAACGAGGAAGUUAACCAAAAGGGGCGGUUGCCGAAGCGCUGGCGAGGAUGGUCGUCAGUUCGCUGGGACGUGGUUUAAGAGACCGCGGACUGUCGCGAAGGCUACCUUCGCGGGGCGCUAUCGACAAAA